Molecule: long non-coding RNA, 2013 nt
Organism: Rhododendron vialii
Lineage: Eukaryota; Viridiplantae; Streptophyta; Magnoliopsida; Ericales; Ericaceae
Exons: 4
Source: RefSeq, a predicted model, not a curated record
GUCUGUCUUAUCCAUAAUGUAUCUAUCUGUUUAAUUAUUAGCUGAGAUUCAGCGUGUAGACAAUGCCUUCUGUGGCCUGAAUUGAUAAAGGGCAUAGUGCGGUUUAAAGGUUAUAUCUAUCGCACAGUUUAAUGCAUUGGGUUCUAUUUCUUGGACCUUUAUUGAACGAUUUAUAUUUUAGAAUAUGCAUUUUUGGGGGUAUUUGUAAGCCAUAAAUCUGCUAGAAAAAUGAAAAUUUUGAUCUGGGAGGGAUUACAUAUGUUAGCUUUUUUUUUUUUUUUUUAACAACGAAAAGCAAUAAUCGAUUGUAAAAAGUUACAACGAUUAAAGGGAGCAAGAGAAAAUGGCAUCGCAAUGAGAAGGUAACAUUCCAACCAGGUUGGUACCCUAUCCCUCGACAUUUGUUGGGAGUAGCAUUUUUUAUUGCAUGUUUUAGUCGCGAGGCAAUUUGCACCCGUUACAAGGACGUCUGAUAGGAGCCUCGCAUGUAUUUUUCGGGGUAAUUUCAGGCUAGAUAUACGUUGGAAAACACAAAUUUGGGUACCGGUUUGUGAUGGAUUACAUUUGUUAGUAGUUUUUUUCUACUUGUGUUUUGGUUUCAACAUAUGGCAUAGGCACCAACAGGCUGUAUGUUUAAGUCAUAUGGCUAUUUGCAUGAGUUGGCGUGGAUGUCUGAGAGGAGCCUCAUAUUGUGGAGUUUUAGCCUUGGUCUUUUCUACUGUGCUGUGCACCAGCCGCAUAUCACCAUCCCCGGGUCCCUUGCAUAGUGAGGGUUUUUAUUGGCAAGGUGAACAAGCAUCUCAUGGGUAAGCAGGGGUGAAGGCAGUGAAGAUCAGUACUUGUAAAGAAUGCAGAUUUGAUUCCUCUAGUAUUGCAGCAAAGGAACUCCUUUCUGGAAGAUGGUGGACUUCUUCAUACAAUCAGUUUUGGAAGGAUCAUGGUGGAGUCUGGUCAGACAGGAUCAGGCCUGUAAUUAUUUGGUAUAUCCGGAACGAAAGGCUGCAAGAAGAAGUCUUGCACACAAAAGAAUCACGUACGUGCCCUUGGUACGAGAUUGAAUGGUUCUUUCCGGAGGGGUUCGUUUCACCUUCCGACAAGUAGUUUGGUUUUUCGACUUAAGAGAUGUAUCGAGUAGACAGUCUCAACCAACUACUUCUACCGAGAGAUUGAUUCACGUUACUCAAACUAUAACAAUACAGGAGUUAUAAUCCCUCAACAGUUGGGUGUCUGGCCAAUUUUUUCCCCCCGCUGAUGGUGAGGCCGGGUCGAACCUGUGAGAUUGCAGGAGCAAGUCCUUCACUUGGUGUCAUGCUUCUGCUCGACCAACCUGUUGAUCAUCCCACACAUCUUUCAUCACCUUAUUUUUGUUCUAUAAUGAGGGUCACAAGAAAUCCAAAGAGAUUGGUCUAUUGUGGAUAAGCUCGUGAUCAUCUUACACUUCCUUCAUCACCUUACUUUUGUUUCACUUUUUUGUAAUUCACACAUUAAAAAAUAAAAACCCUAGGUAGACUAACUCCCUCCAUUAUUUGUGCAAUCUUUUCAGUCUUUGUUUUAUGUUAUAUAUUAUACUGGUAUCAUGCCAAAUCUUUGGUGCAAUGCAUAAUACUAUAAACCAUGUUGUGGGUGGUGGAAUUUAGGGUAAUAACACGAUUGCUAAUUAAUGUGGCUUACGUACUUGUAAUGAGGUCUUUGAUCCACUAACAAUGUGGAUAACAAAAGGUGCCGCCGUUGUUUAAAGCAAAUUGCUACCAUCUUUUUUGAUAACCGGCUGUCUGGCCAGCUUGCGCGUAACUCGAUUGAUUCUGGGAUCCUGAAGGUAAUGACCGGACAAACCUCCAGCGACUCUAAGGUUUGGAAUGUUUGGCUUCCGCGGAUUCGAACAAGCGACUUGAUAGAGGACAAACACUUAUUAGCUUGCUCAUGCCCAUUUAUUAGUCGAACCCCUUUUGAUUAAGGAUAUUGCAAUCUUUUAAAGACUUUUUGAGGGCAAAUAGAACACAUCAUCCUUAUCAU